RNAcentral lists this small RNA (106 nucleotides) under Marmota monax (woodchuck). The record is from RNAcentral. Lineage: Eukaryota; Metazoa; Chordata; Mammalia; Rodentia; Sciuridae.
GCAGGGCGUGGUAGCGCAUGCCUGUAAUCCCAGUGACUUGGAGGCUGAGGCAAGAGAAUUGCAAGUUCGAGGCCAGCCUCAGCAAUUUAAUGAAGCCCUGUCUCAA